GCCGCCGUGGUGAAAUCGGUAUACACGAGAGACUUAAAAUCUCUUGGGAGAAAUCCCGUGUCGGUUCGAGUCCGACCGGCGGCA
RNAcentral lists this transfer RNA (84 nucleotides) under Parcubacteria group bacterium CG10_big_fil_rev_8_21_14_0_10_36_14. RNAcentral's name for it is "tRNA-Leu". It matches the Rfam family "tRNA". Rfam says of the family: Transfer RNA (tRNA) molecules are approximately 80 nucleotides in length. The record is from RNAcentral.